AACGCACAUUGCGCCCCUUGGUAUUCCAUGGGGCAUGCCUGUUCGAGCGUCAUUUGUACCUUCAAGCUCUGCUUGGUGUUGGGCGUCUUGUCUAGCUACUAGACUCGCCUUAAAUGAAUUGGCAGCCAGUGUAUUGGUCUUGAGCGCAGCACAAUUUGCACUCUAACCAGCUAUAUCUGGCAUCCACAAGCCUUUUAACACGCUUGACCUCGGAUCAGGUAGGGAUACCCGCUGAACUUAA
RNAcentral lists this unclassified non-coding RNA (241 nucleotides) under uncultured fungus. Its description in RNAcentral is "sequence contains ITS2". Lineage: Eukaryota; Fungi. The record is from RNAcentral.